AUUGAACGCUGGCGGCAGGCCUAACACAUGCAAGUCGAACGGAUCCUUCGGGAUUAGUGGCGGACGGGUGAGUAACACGUGGGAACGUGCCCUUUGGUUCGGAACAACUCAGGGAAACUUGAGCUAAUACCGGAUGUGCCCUUCGGGGGAAAGAUUUAUCGCCAUUGGAGCGGCCCGCGUCUGAUUAGCUAGUUGGUGAGGUAAAGGCUCACCAAGGCUACGAUCAGUAGCUGGUCUGAGAGGAUGAUCAGCCACAUUGGGACUGAGACACGGCCCAAACUCCUACGGGAGGCAGCAGUGGGGAAUCUUGCGCAACGGGCGAAAGCCUGACGCAGCCAUGCCGCGUGAAUGAUGAAGGUCUUAGGAUUGUAAAAUUCUUUCACCGGGGACGAUAAUGACGGUACCCGGAGAAGAAGCCCCGGCUAACUUCGUGCCAGCAGCCGCCGUAA
RNAcentral lists this ribosomal RNA (449 nucleotides) under uncultured bacterium. Its description in RNAcentral is "partial 16S ribosomal RNA". It matches the Rfam family "Bacterial small subunit ribosomal RNA", at positions 30 to 523 of the family's 1533-position model. The record is from RNAcentral.